CAGGCAGACGACCUGGUUGAUAGGUCACAGGUGUAAGUUCAGUAAUGGAUUCAGCCAAGUGAUACUAAUCGCUCGAUCGGCUUGACCAUAUUACA
RNAcentral lists this ribosomal RNA (95 nucleotides) under Leptospira meyeri. Its description in RNAcentral is "partial 23S ribosomal RNA". It matches the Rfam family "Bacterial large subunit ribosomal RNA", at positions 2837 to 2925 of the family's 2925-position model. Lineage: Bacteria; Pseudomonadati; Spirochaetota; Leptospiria; Leptospirales; Leptospiraceae. The record is from RNAcentral.